RNAcentral lists this unclassified non-coding RNA (1803 nucleotides) under Zea mays. Its description in RNAcentral is "misc RNA Zm00001eb197680". The record is from RNAcentral. Lineage: Eukaryota; Viridiplantae; Streptophyta; Magnoliopsida; Poales; Poaceae.
UUAUUCGAAACUAUAAACACGAUACAAUUGAGGCCCAAAUUGGCCCAUUUCCUUUACCCGCGUAGGCGUGUACGAUAUACAUCUCCAGCUCUCAUCUCGCCGCUUGUGAAUUAUGAAUUGCGAUCAAUCGUUGCGCGCGUGCGCAGCUGGGUAAUCGAACGGCAGCCCCCGCACGCUGUCGUUGAGCGGGGCGGCGUGGCGGAACCCGUACGCGCGGAGCACCUGGUCGUCCGCGAACCCCAGCGCGUGGCGCAUCCCGUCGUCGCAGCUCUCCCUCGAGUACAUCGGGUUCCGACCGCCGCUGCAGGGCUGGCAGCCGACGAAGUGCGUGAUGAGCGGCCGCCGCCACCCCACCUCCCCGCCACCGGCCGGCCCCGGUACGACGCCCCUCAAGGCCGCGUUUCGCGCCCCCGCGUAGCGCAGGUGCUCCUGCUCCGCGUGCCGCCGCCGGAGCCCCGGCGAGCGCCGCUCGACGGCCUCGUACCGCGCGGCGACGCCAUCGAGGCGGUCCACGACCUCCUUCCAGUAGCCCUGGAAGAAGUACUCCGUCUCGACGAAGGUCUUCUUCCCCGGCCUCUCCCAGUUGUUGAGGAGCAGGUACACGAGCGCGGACUGGUCGCACGCCACGUCGGAGUCCUUGUCGCUGAGCGUGGCUCUGAGCACCUCCCCCCACCGGGCGUGGUCCUCCGGGUACGCGGGGCCCAUGCGCGCCCACUCGUCCAUGAAGUCGAGCGACCACUGGCAGUUGCGGAUGAGGAACACGCCGGCGUUCAGCCCCAGCCACGACUUCCUCACGAAGAACUUGUCGGGCCAGCCAUACACGACGAAGUUGCGGCCGCCGUACUUGGCGAGGGGCAGGGAGAAGUCCAUGUCGGUGAAGACGGCGUCGGAGUCCACCCACCAGACCCACUCCGCGUCCGGGUGGGCGAGCAUGGCGGCGCGGACGAUGGGGAUCUUGGCCCAGUAGCCUCCCAUGGCCGGGUGCAGGAACUCCCUGUUGUAGAGCAGCUCGAUCCCGUGCAGGCGGCAGUAGUCGAGCUUGUUCUUGAGGAACCGCAGCAUGAGGUGGUCGCCCGCGCCGCCGGGGCACGGCUCCGGCUGCGACCCGGACACCAUCACCACGCGCUCCGGCGCGCUCCGGCGGCCGAGCCCGCGCGAGCGCAGCCACUCCGCGCGUUUGGCGUCCCAGCCGGUGAGGCGCCGGCCCGCCGCCACGGCGUACGACACCUCCGGGUCGUCGUAGAACGUGCGCGGCCCGUCCUCAGGGCCGGGAACGGGGACGGGGACGCGCAAGGCGACCAGGCCGCCGCGCCCGCCGGGGUCGAGGACCGACGCCGUGCCCACAAGCGCGAGCAGGGUCGCCGCGACGCCGGCCGCGAACACGACAACGUCGCGCGCGCGGCGGCGCGUCGCUGGCCCCCGCGUCCCUGCGCCGCCGUGGUGCUUGCUCCCCACCGAAGCGGAGACGCGGAGCGGAGCGGCCUCCGACGUGGCGACCAUUCCGUGUUACCGUUCGCGCGACGUGGGGCUAGCUCGCCUCGAUCGGCUCGUCGCCGGUGGUGCGGUGAUGCAUGGAGUAGGCCGCGCUUGGUGUGCGGACUGCGGACGUGUUUGUAGUCUCGUACGAGGAAAUUAAAGAGCAAGACGCCAAGAGUGCUGCUCCUGGGCUGGGACUGGGAGCCUGAGAGCGAUCACGCGAACGCGAGGCCGAGCACGACGGAGUCCAGGGUCCAGGCAUCCGCAGGCUGUUUUUUAAAGAAAGAAGAAGAAAAAAAGCGUCGGCAGGCUAUAGUCAUUAUUUUC